Long non-coding RNA from Limulus polyphemus (Atlantic horseshoe crab), 1256 nucleotides. RefSeq lists it as uncharacterized. The record is from RefSeq and is a predicted model, not a curated record. The transcript is spliced from 2 exons. NCBI's taxonomy places the organism in Eukaryota, Metazoa, Arthropoda, Merostomata, Xiphosura, Limulidae.
CUACUCUUGUCUAACCGGAUAGUGGGAAUUUACCGUCGCUCUUAGCGUAUCUCAGCCACAAAGUGUCGAGUGCGUUUUUGGCGACAAUUUAGUGGGAAAUUUUUGUGGUUAAAACCAAAAAUCUCGUUAACAGCAAAAUUACCAAACUGAUGAUUCAUUGCAAACUGAUCACUGAAUACGUUGUUUCUGGUGUUGUAAUUCAUAGUGUUCAGUAUUAUUGUUUAGUUAAUGUACUUUCCGUUCAAAGUUGUUAAUGAUUAAUCCUAUCCACGAGAAGCUGAACUCGGUCACUGAAAAGAUAAAGAGAUAGUGUGUGUUGUCAGUACUUAUAAGUCUACUGAGUUUAUAUUAAGGUGAUAUAGUCAAGUAUGUUACAACUAAGAGUCAUUACAGGAACAAUAACAAAUCCAGAUUUGAUUCAGAACAGUUAAUGGGAAGAAAUAAACUAAAACUUAUGUUAUAGAAGAGAUUUCAAAGGAUCAAAAUCCUGAAGAAAAAUUAUCAGAGUUAGUGACAGCCCUGAUUAAUGAACACAAUUAACCAAAGGACUUCUUCACGUCAUCAUUAUAGAUAGUGAAAAGGAAAGACAUUUGACAAGCUUUCAAAGCAUUACCUUACAGCUUAGGGAGAAGCAGUUUUUACAGAAUAGCUGUGCCUGAAAUAAAUUACAAAUAACAAUAAAGUCAAGAAGGACGAUUUUAGACUGUGUAAGUGUGUGUUAGGGAAUUGGUAAAAUGUCUGAAGGAUUAUAAGAAAUCUGGAGAGUUUAUACAAAAAAUUCGAAGAAAGUAAACGUUUAUAGAAUUAGCCUGUUAUUUAGUUUGAGUCAAGAUUACUGGUUAAGAAGAAUGAGCACAGCACCCACAGGACUAUCCAUUGACACAAUUCUGUAACUACACUCACUAGAGCCUAGCUUGUAGGUUAGACAGAGAACGGUUCCAGGGAUAAAUGUCAAUGUUUCUAUUUUGAUACUUUUGGAAAUUAUAAAGUGUUUGAACUGAGGGAUCCUUCUCCUACUAGCUGAUAAAGAACUUCAUCCUGAUCUUCAUCUUCCAAGAUGUUAUACCGACUCCAGAUGCUAUAAGCAUCUCUUGACCUCAGUUAUAUGUAACUGUACCUAAAUACUUGUUUAAAAGAUAGUUUACUAGGCAGAGAAGAUUGUAUUCGAUUAAAAACUAAUGUGGAUUGCGUCUGUUUUAACUUUUAUGUCUAAAUGUUCUUGAUUCAUAAAAUCUUUAUCAGUUAUUUGAUAUAAA